This 233-nucleotide long non-coding RNA is filed under the name Mytilus galloprovincialis (Mediterranean mussel). The record is from RNAcentral. Lineage: Eukaryota; Metazoa; Mollusca; Bivalvia; Mytilida; Mytilidae.
AUUCCCUUCUGGUAUGCUGUGUAUCUUCAUUCUCCAAUAAUAUAUGUCUGCUGGUUGGAAUUUGGAAUAACUAUCUAAGCUGCAUUCGCAUUUGUGUUCAUCUAGUUCUGUUGCAAUGUUUUUGAAGGCGAAUGCAGACUAUCUUCUUUUAGAGUUGAGUUCUGUUUGAUUUAUGAAAAAAUAACAGUAAGCUAUAUAGUAUACACUUUCUAUUCAGAGAUAUUUAAAUGUAC